This 650-nucleotide ribosomal RNA is filed under the name uncultured bacterium. RNAcentral's name for it is "bacterial SSU rRNA". It matches the Rfam family "Bacterial small subunit ribosomal RNA", at positions 83 to 729 of the family's 1533-position model. The record is from RNAcentral.
GGUGGCUGACGAGUGGCGGACGGGUGAGUAAUACAUCGGAACGUGCCCGAUCGUGGGGGAUAACUACUCGAAAGAGUGGCUAAUACCGCAUACGAUCUACGGAUGAAAGCGGGGGAUCGCAAGACCUCGCGCGGACGGAGCGGCCGAUGGCAGAUUAGGUAGUUGGUGGGAUAAAAGCUUACCAAGCCGACGAUCUGUAGCUGGUCUGAGAGGACGACCAGCCACACUGGGACUGAGACACGGCCCAGACUCCUACGGGAGGCAGCAGUGGGGAAUUUUGGACAAUGGGGGAAACCCUGAUCCAGCCAUGCCGCGUGCAGGAUGAAGGCCUUCGGGUUGUAAACUGCUUUUGUACGGAACGAAAAGACUCUUUCUAAUACAGAGGGUCCAUGACGGUACCGUAAGAAUAAGCACCGGCUAACUACGUGCCAGCAGCCGCGGUAAUACGUAGGGUGCAAGCGUUAAUCGGAAUUACUGGGCGUAAAGCGUGCGCAGGCGGUUAUAUAAGACAGAUGUGAAAUCCCCGGGCUCAACCUGGGAACUGCAUUAGUGACUGUAUAGCUGGAGUGCGGCAGAGGGGGAUGGAAUUCCGCGUGUAGCAGUGAAAUGCGUAGAUAUGCGGAGGAACACCGAUGGCGAAGGCAAUCCCC